Molecule: ribosomal RNA, 492 nt
Filed under: uncultured bacterium
Lineage: Bacteria
Description: partial 16S ribosomal RNA
Rfam family: Bacterial small subunit ribosomal RNA
Source: RNAcentral
AGUGAACGCUGGCGGUAGGCCUAACACAUGCAAGUCGAACGGCAGCACAGUAAGAGCUUGCUCUUACGGGUGGCGAGUGGCGGACGGGUGAGGAAUACAUCGGAAUCUACUUUUUCGUGGGGGAUAACGUGGGGAAACUUACGCUAAUACCGCAUACGACCUACGGGUGAAAGCAGGGGAUCUUCGGACCUUGCGCGAUUGAAUGAGCCGAUGUCGGAUUAGCUAGUUGGCGGGGUAAAGGCCCACCAAGGCGACGAUCCGUAGCUGGUCUGGGAGGCUGAUAGGCCACACUGGAACUGAGACACGGUCCAGACUCCUACGGGAGGCAGCAGUGGGGAAUAUUGGACAAUGGGCGCAAGCCUGAUCCAGCCAUACCGCGUGGGUGAAGAAGGCCUUCGGGUUGUAAAGCCCUUUUGUUGGGAAAGAAAAGCAGCAGGUUAAUACCCCGCUGUUCUGACGGUACCCAAAGAAUAAGCACCGGCUAACUUCGUG